UGAGGAAUAUUGGUCAAUGGUCGAGAGACUGAACCAGCCAAGUCGCGUGAAGGAUGACUGCCCUAUGGGUUGUAAACUUCUUUUACAAGGGAAUAAAAUGAGAUACGUGUAUUUUAUUGCAUGUACCUUGGGAAUAAGCAUCGGCUAACUCCGUGCCAGCAGCCGCGGUAAUACGGAGGAUGCGAGCGUUAUCCGGAUUUAUUGGGUUUAAAGGGUGCGUAGGUGGGCUGUUAAGUCAGCGGUGAAAGUUUGUCGCUUAACGAUAAAAUUGCCGUUGAAACUGGUAGUCUUGAGUAUAGAUGAAGUAGGCGGAAUGCGUGGUGUGCGGUGAAAUGCAUAGAGAUCACGCAGAACUCCGAUUGCGAAGGCAGCUUACUAAGGUAUAACUGACACUGAAGCACGAAAGCGUGGGUAUCAAACAGG
This 423-nucleotide ribosomal RNA is filed under the name Fusobacteriota bacterium. RNAcentral describes it as "Fusobacteria bacterium partial 16S ribosomal RNA". It matches the Rfam family "Bacterial small subunit ribosomal RNA", at positions 355 to 776 of the family's 1533-position model. The record is from RNAcentral. Lineage: Bacteria; Fusobacteriati; Fusobacteriota.